This 286-nucleotide ribosomal RNA is filed under the name uncultured bacterium. RNAcentral's name for it is "partial small subunit ribosomal RNA". It matches the Rfam family "Bacterial small subunit ribosomal RNA", at positions 26 to 285 of the family's 1533-position model. The record is from RNAcentral.
AGGACGAACGCUGGCGGCGCGCUUAACACAUGCAAGUCGAGCGAGAACCUGGGCUUCGGGCCUCGUGCCCGAAAACCAGGGGACAGCGGCGAACGGGUGAGUAACACGUGGGUGACCUGCCUUCGAGUGGGGAUAACGUUCCGAAAGGAACGCUAAUACCGCAUAAUAUCCUGCCUUUUAAGAGGUGGACAUCAAAGCUGGGGACCGCAAGGCCUGGCGCUUGAAGAGGGCCCGCGCCUGAUUAGCUAGUUGGUGGGGUAAUGGCUCACCAAGGCAUCGAUCAGUA